CUGCGCUUCCAGCGGCCCCGGCGGGCCCUGCCCCGCGCCGGGGGGGCCUUGGCCUUGCUGCGGCCCCGCCUGGCCGGGCCCCGGCGGCGUCUGGGUCUGGCUGGGGAGGGUGAAGUCGGUGAACUCGAACUCGGAGCCCUGAGUGUCGGCGCCGAGCAGCUCGGCCUCCUCGGUGUCCAGGAAGGUGGUUUUGAAAAGAUCUCAAGUGCUGUGAUGCCAAGUGGUCGAUUUUACAAAGGCCUGUAAUGUAAAAAAAGCCCUUUUUUCACCAGCUAAAAACACCUCAGGUGUCAUCCUGGAAAUUGAAGAAUUAUCCUGGAAAUUUAAGAAUUAUUCUGGAAAUUGAAGAAUUAUUCUGGAAAUUGAAGAAUUUCUCGAAGGUGCCAGAAUUGAAGUACAAUGGGAAAUGCAAAUCCAGCCUUGAUUUCAGGGAUAUGAGCAGUGAAGUAGUGAAAACUCAGGAAAAAAAAAGAGCUUUGAUUCCUGGUCAAAGAAUUUUCCUGGGAUAAUUCUGUUUGAACUGAUUCACCUACAGGUUCAGCUGUGGCUGCAUAAAGUGUUCCCAAAACAAGGCAUGGAGAUGUCACUUGGAGCAGUGAAGGAAAAGGAGGAGAAGAUUUUGACAUUUCUCCAGUGAUCUGGAAUGGAAAAUGUCCUUGGAAAUUAAGGUGAUGAGGGACAUUAAAAGAUAACAUCAAUAUAUGAAAGCCAGGAAAUGGAACUCGCUGUUUCACUAAGCACCAAAAAGCCAAUAAACUUCUUAAAACGUAAUUUAA
Pipra filicauda (Wire-tailed manakin) is the source of this 776-nucleotide long non-coding RNA. RefSeq lists it as uncharacterized. The transcript is spliced from 2 exons. The record is from RefSeq and is a predicted model, not a curated record. Lineage: Eukaryota; Metazoa; Chordata; Aves; Passeriformes; Pipridae.